GUCCACGCCGUAAACGAUGGGUGCUAGGUGUCACGGGCUUUGACUCUCGUGGUGCCGUAGCUAACGCAUUAAGCACCCCGCCUGGGAAGUACGGCCGCAAGGCUAAAACUCAAAGGAAUUGACGGGGGCCCCGCACAAGCGGUGGAGCAUGUGGUUUAAUUCGACGCAACGCGAAGAACCUUACCUGGGCUAGAAAACAUCAAAACCUGGUAGAAAUAUCGGGGUGCUCUUCGGAGAAUUGGUGGUUAGGUGCUGCAUGGCUGUCGU
This 267-nucleotide ribosomal RNA is filed under the name uncultured bacterium. RNAcentral describes it as "partial 16S ribosomal RNA". It matches the Rfam family "Bacterial small subunit ribosomal RNA", at positions 793 to 1055 of the family's 1533-position model. The record is from RNAcentral.